Molecule: non-coding RNA, 45 nt
Organism: Echinostoma caproni
Lineage: Eukaryota; Metazoa; Platyhelminthes; Trematoda; Plagiorchiida; Echinostomatidae
Source: Rfam
GCGCUGCUGACGAGUCCCAAACAGGAAGAAACAGCUGUCCAGUGC